AAGGAAUAUUGGACAAUGGAGGCAACUCUGAUCCAGCCAUGCCGCGUGAAGGAAUAAGGCCCUAUGGGUUGUAAACUUCUUUUAGACGGGACAAAACCCCUUUACGUGUAAAGGGUUGAUGGUACUGUCAGAAUAAGCAUCGGCUAACUUCGUGCCAGCAGCCGCGGUAAUACGAAGGAUGCAAGCGUUAUCCGGAAUUAUUGGGUUUAAAGGGUGCGUAGGCGGACUAAUAAGUCAGUGGUGAAAGCCUGCAGCUUAACUGCAGAAUUGCCAUUGAUACUGUUAGUCUUGAGUACAGUUGAGGUAGGCGGAAUGUGUCAUGUAGCGGUGAAAUGCUUAGAUAUGACACAGAACACUGAUUGCGAAGGCAGCUUGCUAAGCUGUAACUGACGCUGAGGCACGAAAGCGUGGGGAGCAAAC
RNAcentral lists this ribosomal RNA (420 nucleotides) under uncultured bacterium. RNAcentral describes it as "bacterial SSU rRNA". It matches the Rfam family "Bacterial small subunit ribosomal RNA", at positions 356 to 773 of the family's 1533-position model. The record is from RNAcentral.